UCAUGGCCGGGGUGGCUAACAAUCUGUAUUUUCUUCCUAUUAAUUAGAAGUCGUAUUUCAUUUUCAGAUGAGGAGCGAGCCUCGCAGCGUAGCUGACAAGUUUGCAGCCCCUGCUUUGAGUCGUGCAUUGAAUUUUACUGAGUUGUUUUACCUGGAGACCAAAGCAACAAACGAUCUAGGCAGACUGAGAGCCUUACCAGAGGAUUGCACUUCUGCAAAGGCGGUGACACGGAGCGCGAAAAAAAUGACACGUUAUGAAACACCCGGGAGAAGGAGCCGGGGCUGUGGCUGGGUGGUGCCGCGGUGGCCCGGGAAAAAACAGUUCCCUGCCGGCAGAUUUCAUCCGACUGCCGUUAAUGAGCAGAGCUGCCCGGAGCUACCGGCGCAUCUGAGGAGCAUCUGUUGAGCAUCUCCGGCAUCCGGACAACGACUCUUGCUCAGCCCCCUCUGGAGAUGGCAGAGAAGGGCUGUUUUGGAGAGGAGCUGGUUCGAGCCCGUGGAUUCUGGGGUGUUUCUUCAUCCAUCUCUUUCCACCGGCAGCUCAGUGCAGGAGGCGCCCUCUCUACAAACGCUGGUUUUCCCAAAUCCUGGUAAGGAUUUAGUAAGACUCAGAAAUAAGGCUUAUUGAGCCUCAGAUGCAUUUUGCACAUAAAACAUUACACCACUGAACGGGGAAGGUAUUAAUACUACCGCUGAGAUGCUAUACUGAAUAAUUGGCCGGUCAACAGCACUUCAUUCACCUCAAACUGGGGGCAGACAUCACAGUGUCGGGAAAUCCAGGACCCCAGGAAAACUCCAUGGUGGGACGGUGUCAUGGGAUACACGAAACGUUUUCUUCCUGGGAAAGACAGGCUGAACUGCUGGUACAAUAGCUGAGUCUUUACUCAGUCUUGUCACCUGUAUGCUGCUGUCAUUAACUUUCGGCUUCCUAACAGCAGAAAAUCAGGCCCUUAAGUUUCUAUUUGGAUAGCGCAAUUUAACAUAAGCAAUAACCCCAUUAGCAGGUUGUUCUGGAAACCAGGCGCUGGGCUGCAUUACCGGCGCAAAGAUUACCUUCCUGCAGAAAUCACCACGUACCAACGCGAACGGCCGCCUUUCGGGGCUCAAACCCAGCCCUUGACCCGGGAGCUCCGUGCUGCUCUCCCUGCCUCCGCGCGGGUCCCUUACCUGGGAACACCCCGGCGGUGGCUGCAUCAUCCCAAAGCCCUGAUUCCGCCAGCAGCUUAACCGGGGGGGCUCAGAGCCGCUGCCCCCACCUCGCCGUGCCCCUCUCGGCCAUUGCUCUAGCCCAAACCCUUCCUGGCCAGCUCUGAUUUCGGGAGAAAGAAAAGGGAUUUUUUUUUUUUGAUCCGGAGGUGCUUCUUGGCUAUACGUUACUAUCGUAUUUCUCUUCCUUCUUCUGAUCCUUUGCUUACGGUUUUGUUCAGCGCCCUCCUAUAAUGCAGAAUGUCCCCCUCCCAAAAGUGCACGAGCCCUGCCAGCUGUGGGGAAGGAGGACCAGAGAUCGCAGCAGCUUGUUUUUGAAAAGGAAAAUAUGGCUGUUACCGUCUAAACUUCUGCCAGAGAAAGACGUGGGGAUUCAUAUUCAACUCCAUCUUUCCAGAAUUCAUCCAUUAGCGUUCGGGUUUAGAAGCCCAUGAAUAAAUAAGCCCAUGUUUAGCCCGUGCUAAACAAGAAGAUUGUUCCUUUCAGAGAAGCAGCAGUUGCCAAAAUCUCCACGUAGAAAAUGAGAAUAACAGUUUUAAUUGAGGCGUGCUUUUUUGUUUUAACGUUCUCUCCGCUUCUUUAACUAGGAAAUGGCUACAUUACCUGGAAAAAUAUUUUUGUAUUGUGCUGCUUGAGGGGAAAAGAGCUAACUAAAUUUGUAAAAGUGGAAAAUAAUGGCUAAGAGGUCUUUGUAAGGCUGUGGUUCUGACUGCUGGUGUCAGCUUUACUGCCAAUAUGCGCAGAUGUUAACGAAUGAGCUACCAUCAACCUCCCCUUAUUGUCCUAGGGCCCCACUCAGCUCGUAAAUGUAUUCACGUGUUAUUAUUUACAGUAUUUAGCGUUCGGUUUGUAAGCGCAAUGCUCCUGUUGAUGCUCUACCCCAAACCAGGGGAG
Long non-coding RNA from Chroicocephalus ridibundus (black-headed gull), 2100 nucleotides. RefSeq lists it as uncharacterized. The record is from RefSeq and is a predicted model, not a curated record. The transcript has 3 exons. NCBI's taxonomy places the organism in Eukaryota, Metazoa, Chordata, Aves, Charadriiformes, Laridae.